AAUAUUUGCUUCUAGGGUUCCGAUUUAAGAGUUUAAAGUUUUUAAAUGACUGGUCCAAGAGAGGCAGGCUAACUGGAAUUUUUAACAACAGACAAUUUGUUUCAAGUCAGUAGCUACACGGCGGGAUAAAAGCCCGGGAGGA
Molecule: small RNA, 142 nt
Filed under: Hyella patelloides LEGE 07179
Lineage: Bacteria; Bacillati; Cyanobacteriota; Cyanophyceae; Pleurocapsales; Pleurocapsaceae
Description: Hyella sp. LEGE 07179 Guanidine-I riboswitch aptamer
Rfam family: Guanidine-I riboswitch aptamer
About the family: This family represents a conserved RNA structure found upstream of the ykkC and yxkD genes in Bacillus subtilis and related genes in other bacteria.
Source: Rfam by way of RNAcentral